Amborella trichopoda is the source of this 885-nucleotide long non-coding RNA. RefSeq lists it as uncharacterized. The record is from RefSeq and is a predicted model, not a curated record. NCBI's taxonomy places the organism in Eukaryota, Viridiplantae, Streptophyta, Magnoliopsida, Amborellales, Amborellaceae.
AACCAAGGGUCCACAUUCAAAAGCAGAGAACAAAAGCGAAACUCCAUUUGAAAUGAAGACAGCUUAGGCCUGCAAACUCCCCCUACACUCCUACCUAGUGUGCAGAGAUGGCAGGCCUACCUGCCCAGCCCUUCUCAUACUCCAUCUCUCUCUCUACUGAUGCAUUCACUCCCUCUCUCUCUCUAAACCACAUGAAAUAAAAAACCAUUCCCUUUCUCUCUCUAAAACCAGAGGAACCCUAUCUCUCCCUUGCACCUAGUUUCCUCGCUAUCUUUUACAAACUACUGGAUCCCCAAUACACCCUCGUGCCCUCUCUCUCUCUAAACCAGAGAUACAGGCGAAGCCCUACCAAACUGACGUCACCCUCUCUCUGCGCCUCUCGUACGAGAACAAAAGUGAAAGCCCUAUCUUAAUCUUAGUCACAGUGGGUAAGCAACAUUAUGGUAAGCAGCGUUAUGUAUUAUGCUUGUGACCAGAUAUGGAUUGCUCUUUCAAGAUGUCAUCGGUUGGAAAAUCAGCUUAUAUACAAUAUUAGAAUUGGCUGUUACGCAGGGCUCACAAUGGAUCUUCAUAACUCCGCAUGACAUCAGGUAUAAACUAAAAUUUGUAUCUAUCAUUCUUAUGAAUUGUAAUCUCUGUUUGACCUCUCUCUCUUUCUUAAGAAUUUAAUGAUUGUAACCUCUAAUUCAGAUUGUUAAUUCAAAUGGACUUUGAAUUGACAAACCAUCUGAGUUAUAAUUCCUCUCUUUUAGCUUACCUAAUCUUGUUUGUGGAGUAUCAUUGUGACUAUUCUCUAAGUCAUUUGGUGACUGUUAUUGUGGUCAUUCAUCUUCUAGCUUGGAUUAGUUAAUUCAAUUCUUUUGGUCCUUGUGCUUUCCAACUCAA